AGUGAACGCUGGCGGUAGGCCUAACACAUGCAAGUCGAACGGCAGCACAGUAAGAGCUUGCUCUUACGGGUGGCGAGUGGCGGACGGGUGAGGAAUACAUCGGAAUCUACUUUUUCGUGGGGGAUAACGUAGGGAAACCUACGCUAAUACCGCAUACGACCUACGGGUGAAAGCAGGGGAUCUUCGGACCUUGCGCGAUUGAAUGAGCCGAUGUCGGAUUAGCUGGUUGGCGGGGGAAAGGCCCACCAAGGCGACGAUCCGCAGCUGGACUGAGAGGAUGGUCGGCCGCACUGGAGCUGAGACACGGUCCAGACUCCUACGGGAGGCAGCAGUGGGGAAUAUUGGACAAUGGGCGCGAGCCUGAUCCAGCGAUACCGCGUGGGUGAAGAAGGCCUUCGGGUUGUAAAGCCCUUUUGUUGGGAAAGAAAAGCAGCAGGUUAAUACCCCGCUGGUCUGACGGUAACCAAAGAAUAAGCACCGGCUAACUUCGUG
RNAcentral lists this ribosomal RNA (492 nucleotides) under uncultured bacterium. RNAcentral describes it as "partial 16S ribosomal RNA". It matches the Rfam family "Bacterial small subunit ribosomal RNA", at positions 29 to 507 of the family's 1533-position model. The record is from RNAcentral.